ACCUCUGUUCAGGUGAGACUACCCCCUGAAUUUA
RNAcentral lists this ribosomal RNA (34 nucleotides) under Thrips palmi. RNAcentral describes it as "partial 28S ribosomal RNA". Lineage: Eukaryota; Metazoa; Arthropoda; Insecta; Thysanoptera; Thripidae. The record is from RNAcentral.